Long non-coding RNA from Pyrus x bretschneideri (Chinese white pear), 595 nucleotides. RefSeq lists it as uncharacterized. The transcript is spliced from 2 exons. NCBI's taxonomy places the organism in Eukaryota, Viridiplantae, Streptophyta, Magnoliopsida, Rosales, Rosaceae. The record is from RefSeq and is a predicted model, not a curated record.
UUCUCGACACCCGUGGAUUGGGGGGGCUUAUGAAGGAAGAACCUAGAAGCUGUUUUAGAAGUACCAUUUCCAAUGAACAUCCACAUUUUUUUUAUCUCGCAACGGAGUAGAAUAUAUAGUCAUUGACAGGCGAAGCAAGUAUGAUGAGUAAUUUUGUUAGUGCACCUCAGGUAUAUGCAUCAGACACUCUUUCUCUCGCAAUCAAGCCUCCCCCAUCGAUGAUGGAACCCCAAACGAGAGCGUCUCAGAUGUAUUCGUUCGGGUGACACAACUCAUGUCCAUACUCGAGACUCGGUACUCCGAAGACACUGCGAUCAUUGUCUCACCAGAUUCAGACAAUUUGACUGUCCUUCAAGCUGGUAUAAUUAGACUUGACUUGCGCAGUUUCAGGCACAGGGUACUUUCUUUUGCACAAGGAGAAGUCAGAUUUGUUAAUACCAAUAGUGUACCUCCUUACAAGCAACCUGCGUCAGUUGUGUAUAAAUGCCUAAAACCACCAAAUUGUAACCAACGUUAUUUCUUUUGAUAGACUGAACUUUACCGGGCUUGCAAGAGGCUUGUAUCUCAUUUGGUUAAGAGUAUUCACUCUUGCCCA